Long non-coding RNA from Oreochromis aureus, 2835 nucleotides. NCBI's taxonomy places the organism in Eukaryota, Metazoa, Chordata, Actinopteri, Cichliformes, Cichlidae. The record is from Ensembl.
UAUUAUAUUAUAUUAUAUUAUAUUAUAUUAUAUUAUAUGAUAUUAUAUGAUAUUAUAUUAUAUUAUAUUAUAUUAUAUUAUAUUAUAUUAUAUUAUAUUAUAUUAUACGAGCAUUAUUGCAGCAAAGAGUCUGUGAGCUUCCACAGCCCAUAGCGCUUUGAGUACUCCAGGAGAGUAGAAAAGCGCUAUAUAAGAAUCAGUCCAUUAACAAUUUACCAGAGAACUUUUCACCUGUGCACCAAUUCCUCACAUCUAACUGGCAAGUGGAAUUAAAAUCAACAAUGGGAUCAACACUGUAACAGGAUACAGUUUCUAACACUGAGCUGAGGUUUGUCUGUGUGGGAAGAAAUCAAUGACCUUUUAUCAGUCACAGCCGUUUUUUAGCAUUGAUGAGGCCACAGAAGAGCCUUAAACUGUUGUCAUUUGGUUUCAUAUAAAUAAAAUUGAAUUGAAUAGUGUGGAAGGAGGAACUCUUACAUUAGAGUUUGGCCCAUCAAGUCUCUAAUAUCCUGUAACAUGGAUUUCAUUCUGUAACUGUCCUGUCCCAAAAAGCCGCCCGGCAAAAUAUAGAAAAGCAAACCCGCAGAGAUGAUAUAAUAAUGCAAGCAUACUGCUACUUAAGUAAUGCAGCGGAAAGGAUGGCGAAAGCAUGGAUAUAGAGUUAUCGUGCACCGAGAAGCUGCUCUAAUCUGCUCUAUCCUCCUCCUGUCUCCACAUCAGCUUUUGGUUGCGGCGCCUUCUUAAACAUCACAUGAGGGUAGAUGCCUCCAGUCUGGCCACAGCAUUUACUACCAAAGACAGAGCAUUAGUUAGACCAUGUCAGAUGAGCAUGUUACUAAAUACAGCUGUUACAGUCAGAUAGAUACCUCCAAAGUCUAUACACGAGGCCGACCAGCAGCAGGACAGCUGCUACAAUGACAGCUGCUACAAUGACACCAAUCUGGGAAGGAGGCAUUCCUGAAAAGACAAACAGUUCAGCUACCAGCCAACAACAUCUAACAUCAUCUCAAAGGUCAAGUAGUUUGUUCAAAGGUACAAAAACAGACAUUUUCUCAGGGCUUACUACCAGUCUUGAGAAAUCUGCAUGCAGUUGCACAACAUUCAUAAUAAAACCUUAAAUAAAUCCUGUAAUUUAUCUGUGAAGUCAUAAAUAAAUAGAGUUUAGCACUAGUUUAACAAAGUUUGAUCUCCUCACUAAGUGGUGCUGAAGAUCAGUUCUCUGCUAACAUGAGCCACAGCGAGCCACCUGAGGCCUGAGCACGCUACCUGUAUAUCAAAUGCCUACCUGUGCCAUCAAUCAGAGCUUCUGGAGGGCAGACGGCUGUAAAAGAACAUCAGAAAAUCACAUUAGACUUAUAAAUUAACACAGAAACUCUAACACGGGCUGAACAAAUAAAGAAAAAUUUUUUAAUUUUAUUAAAUUUAGCACAGUGAUACUCACGGGUGCAGCUGGCUGUGUAAUCAUAUGCUCUUUGCUAUGAAGAACAAAGACACAGUGAUUGUGAUUAAAGGUUGUUUUCACAGCAUAGAAAGCAAGUGGACGUCUUUAAGUUCUUUAAACUUAAAGACGUCCAGUUGCUUUCUUUCCGAGCUCCGCAGACAACCAUGACCUGGAUGACUGAGAACCCACACAGACAUUUUCACAGUAAAUUCAUCUCAUCAUUUCCAGAUUAAACCCCUCCUAUGAACACAAUGUUCACCCCACAAUGCUUAACAUAACUCAGAAAAUCUCUUCCCUCACAUGUUUGCAUUUUUAAACGUUUUUUUUAUGACUCAAUCAGUUCAUAACAAGGUAUUUUUUAAAGAGUCAUACCUUUAUCUCGCAAGUGGCUGUGAAGCUAACAUUGCCGAUGCAUUUGGAGGUGAUUAGUGUGCCAAAGCUGCUGCUCAUCACGGGCUGCAGGAACAGGCCCCGGUGGUGUGCGAUCACAAAAUCCUAAAGUCAUCGAAUUUAAAUAAAUCAUUAAGAAAACAAUUCAACCAUAUUAUAUUAAAACAAGCCAGACUGUCACACUGUAAGUAAGUCAUAAUAGAUUCGAAUGCCUUCUCACUGCACACAUGUUGAUAUGUCGUAGCUGCUUAUGUUGGACCACGACAGAUCAAACUGCUCUGGUUUAUCACACUUACAGUUGCAUUGGACCACGUAAACAUGCAGCGGGAAGCCUUGUUGCGCAUAUCAGGUGACAGGUCUGAGAUGUCGUAUGUCGUCUUGCUGCCAGCGUGAGUGACGGUGCACUUCAUGUCAUGUGCACUGCAAAGCUGAACAAACAACCCUGGGAACAAAAUGCAGUUUGAAGUUAAGUUAUGUUACAGUUAUGCACAUGAAUAUUUUAUCAGCACUUAGUGCACGAGACAAUGAAGGUAAAGCUCAUGCUGAGAGGUCAAGGAGUAUGUCAUGGUUUCAUUUUCCUGUGUCAGAUGUUAAAGUUGAGUAACAGUCAUGUUUUGGUUCAGUAAGAAGCCAUAAAUAGAUCAGGAUGUGUGAACUUACUACAAGCUGCCUGUUAGAAACUCAAACUACUUUUAGUACUGUAUGCUGUGUAGUUCCAUAAAUACUGGGUCACAUGGUUAGUGUAAUAAUGCACCACUGACACACACACAAUCAGCGAGGAAACCUACUAUCUCCACACCCCCUGGGUCGCCCCGCCUACCGGGAAUUCCCUCAGUAAUGCGGAAGUUUUAACACUCGUGACUGGUGACGCCAUGUGUGAGUAUGCCGCAGAUGUAAACCGUGUCCGCACCCGCAAAACAAAAUCCAUGAAACCAAACUACCCGCCAUCUGUGGCGAACCCAAAACUAUUAAUUCUGCAAUAAAUACAGAAUAAAUGCAGAAUA